GAUGAACGCUAGCGGGAGGCCUAACACAUGCAAGCCGAGCGGUAUUGUUUCUUCGGAACUGAGAGAGCGGCGUACGGGUGCGUAACACGUGUGCAACCUGCCUUUAUCUGGGGGAUAGCCUUUCGAAAGGAAGAUUAAUACUCCAUAAUAUAUUGAACGGCAUCGUUUAAUAUUGAAAGCUCCGGCGGAUAGAGAUGGGCACGCGCAAGAUUAGCUAGUUGGUGAGGUAACGGCUCACCAAGGCGAUGAUCUUUAGGGGGCCUGAGAGGGUGAUCCCCCACACUGGUACCGAGACACGGACCAGACUCCUACGGGAGGCAGCAGUGAGGAAUAUUGGUCAAUGGGUGCAAGCCUGAACCAGCCAUCCCGCGUGAAGGACGACUGCCCUAUGGGUUGUAAACUUCUUUUGUAUAGGGAUAAACCUACCCUCGUGAGGGUAGCUGAAGGUACUAUACGAAUAAGCACCGGCUAACUCCGUG
RNAcentral lists this ribosomal RNA (479 nucleotides) under uncultured bacterium. RNAcentral's name for it is "partial 16S ribosomal RNA". It matches the Rfam family "Bacterial small subunit ribosomal RNA", at positions 28 to 507 of the family's 1533-position model. The record is from RNAcentral.